Anthonomus grandis grandis is the source of this 551-nucleotide long non-coding RNA. RefSeq lists it as uncharacterized. NCBI's taxonomy places the organism in Eukaryota, Metazoa, Arthropoda, Insecta, Coleoptera, Curculionidae. The transcript has 2 exons. The record is from RefSeq and is a predicted model, not a curated record.
UUUGUACCCUUGACUACGUUAACUAAAAGGCAUGUAUUAAGAUUUAGACCUUUAUAAAAAUCAAAUUGCUAUUUCAAAACUAAACAAAGGGGAUUGAACUAUAUCAGUUUAUCAGCACAGCCAUGCACAAAAGCCACCCUGGUCCUCGUUGUAGGAUAAACCGUAUUUGGUUUUCCAUGCUUGUCAAAAGAAGAGGGACACCCGGCACGGCAAUUUUAGGUUUUGAAAAAAUUUAAGGAAAAUAUUUACCUUUAUGGGUUUCUGCACGUGGUAACAACUGAAAACUUUAUAUAACUGUAGAGGGUCUGCGUUUUAUGGUGCUUUAAAGGACUUUUGGUUUAUUUUCCGGUGAAAAACGCAAACACUAUGAACUCGGGGUGUAAACUUGACAAGAACGGUGAUAAAAGUGGCGACGUUGUCGCAUUUUCGCAAUACGUAAAACGUGCGUUUUCAAUAUUUCCCCGAGAACUACAUACAGCAGAAGAAAAUGGUGUAAUAUAUAUAUAUUUUAUUAAACUUUAAGGGUUCGAAUAAAUAUAAUUAUUCACGUG